AGAAGGGUCCCUCCCCUCGCCUUUAUUUCAUUCCAUACCAAAAAGAUGGAAUAAGGAAAUUAAGGGUUUUAAGUGCUAUAUCCUGAAGUUUAGGGGGUGUCAGUCACCAGCGCGCAGUUGUCCUGGUGGUGCCGGUUGUUUCAAGUUCCUCGAGUUGGAUUGUACAGCCUGCGUCAGCCUGGGUGGUUGUUUGUGUUUAACUAACUCUGAGGCCUUCAAGAGGCACGUGGUUAGAAACCCGGCAAAAUAUCUGUGAUUCACAACGGGAAGACAUCGUUAAUCCACAACCCAGAUAGUGGGACAAACUAAGAGCUGACUAUGUAUGUCUUGAGCAAUAAAGUAACCAAAACAGGAUGUACAACUAGUGUGACGACUUCCUCAGUUCUCUCUAAGUACGAGUAGGACAACUUUUUCCUUGCCAUCAAAUGCCCUUUAAACUAGGAAACUCAAAGCAUAUCUCAUUGGAGUAAUUUCAAUUACAUCAAUUUAUUUGGUGUUAAUUCUGUGUGAGAACUCUAAUUCAGGCAUGAAGCUGUGUUUGUCACUGUUUGUGGGCACAGAGAAGAGCUUCUCCCUGGGUACCUUCCUGUCUGGUGAAGCCUUGUCAAUGAUUUUCUUGUUGCUGCUGAAGAGCUAAUUGUUAGUGAUGUAGUGGACAAUACAUUUCCCAGGUGGCUUGUAUAUUUAAUUACUGUGUUCACUUACUUAGUAUUAGCUUUGCAAAUUAUUUUAAAUGUUAAACUUAUGCCCUUCACCAUGUUCCAUUUGCUUUUUCCUAUUGUGAUGGCACAUAGCAGUCAAAAGCUGAAAGUAUUCGUGGUUCUCUGUGCAUAGAACGGUUAUCAGAUGAUUCCUCCUGAGUGAUAGGAAUACUAUCAAUGAAAUUCAAGCAGUUAGAGACCUUCCAUUAUGUAGGUGUAAGAUCACUUUUUCUGUCACACCUUCUGAUCUACAAAGAAAAGAGAGAGAUAAUUCAGAAGUAGGUCUGGAUCGUACGAUAUAGAUUGAGUAACCAGGCUAAGCCAAUGCUAAAAAUCUGCUUAGCUGCACCUAACUGCUAACUGCCCCCACUUUCCUGGGCGUUCAUCAGCAUUCGUAUAGAUAUGCAGUGAUUUGUGUAAGGGAGCUAAUCUGAUCAGAACUAACUAUUUUUUAAAUACAGUCAUUUGUUUUUGGUAAAUUAAUUUUAAUUCAGGUGACUUUGUGAUCUAGUUCACUGUGCAGAUUGCAUAAACGUUCAUGCUGAGCCAACGGAAUACACAGAGCAGGUUCACUUUCAAUUACAGUAAUAGUUUAUGAGCAUGGCCAUGCAGUGUUAAUAUGACGCUCUCUAAUUUUUGAGCUGCUAGAUAAAAUUAAGAAAACACUUUUAAAACCUAUUUCAGCAUGAAGAUAAACUUUUUCAGCCUUAGAUAAUGAGAAGAUUGUUUUGCCCAAGAUCAAAGUGCUUUCUUUCCCUCCAAAUUGGUUCACCGAACAAGGUAAACACGUGCUGAUACUCAUUCUUAGGAUUCUGAACAUGCACAAGAAGAUUAUUAUAAUGAUAGAAUUAGGAAGAAAUUAACCAUGGCACAUAUUUCUAAAUUAUGGCCAAAGCUCCUUUUGAUAGUCCAUCAUUUGAAUCACUGUACGUGCCUGUUACAGCAGUUAAACUCAUGUGCAUACAUAUACAUUUAGAAGAUUUCUACUGAGUUGAAUAGAAUAACUUAUGCAUAAAGUUAACUCAUUCACGUUGCUCAACAGUGCCGUUGUUAAGAGACUAAUUUUUAAAGUGACACUUACUUAAUGGAAAGAGAAUUCAGUUAAUUAUUUUCAAAAACCAACAGUGUUAGAAAUGCUUCUUUAAAAAAAAAAAUUAGUUUGUAUUACUGCUUAGUGAGAACUUCCAAAAAAUUAGCUUCUAAAACUUGUAGAGUGUACAGAAAUCACUCAAACUUUUUUUAAUUUUUCUGAGUCGCCUUUGAAAUAUGCAUCUAUAAUCUGUAUGCUGGUAAUGUUGUUUUUAAAUAAUCCUCCUGAUUUUUGAAAUGUUGUUCACAAUAUAUUUCCAAAUGUAUCCAUCCAUACCCCUUUCAUGUUAUGUGGGGACUGUGUAUUGUAUUAACAGUAUUGUAUGUAUGAUCUGUAUCCACUGGAUAAAUUAUUUUUAAAGGAAUUGUGUGUGUGUGAGUUUUUUAA
Molecule: non-coding RNA, 2178 nt
Organism: Struthio camelus australis
Lineage: Eukaryota; Metazoa; Chordata; Aves; Struthioniformes; Struthionidae
Source: RefSeq, a predicted model, not a curated record